Long non-coding RNA from Sycon ciliatum, 1591 nucleotides. RefSeq lists it as uncharacterized. The record is from RefSeq and is a predicted model, not a curated record. Lineage: Eukaryota; Metazoa; Porifera; Calcarea; Leucosolenida; Sycettidae. The transcript has 2 exons.
CUUGUCUCUAACUGGUUAUCCCUUGACACUCAACUUUUACGGCUGGCGUGGGCUUUCCCUCUGGGGGUAGCAGCUACUUGGGGCUGGCAGGCCUUCUUCUGUACAUAGGGUGGGCCACUUGUGAGGUUGUGGCAGCCUUUUGGUUACACCUAGUACAGGAGGGGUUUUUCGUUUUGUUCGGCGGCUCUGAACUCCUAGGCCGGUUGGGCCUUUGAUUGGGGGCCAUUUUGUCUACGCCUCUGCUUCUAGGGCUUAGCUGAGCUCCCUUCUACUGUCUGCACCCACUAACCCCUCUUUUCUCUCUGUUGGCCUGGGGGACUCUCAGCGCUUAGGCCUUUACUGUAGCUCACUCAGCCAAGCUACUUUGGCUUCCUCGAAUCCCACCGGAUGCAAUCAUGGACCUCCGCUGAACAGUUCGUCUUCUCCGGCAGUUACCACCGGAUGUGGCCUUCAGGCCACAUUAGCUUACGAGGGUUAGAAAACAUGGACCUAGGGCCCAGUAGGGCCGGAGUACUCAAAGCAGGCUACAAAGCCGGCAGCCAGCCUUGGGCAUCCUCCUGUAGUCAGCUUGGCUUUGCAUCCACUCCCUCUAGCCACAGUCAAAGAGCUCAGAACCGCCGAACAAAACGAAAACCCCUUCUUUAGGGCUGGCGGCGAGGAAGAGGCCAGCCCGUCGAGGGCCUGGGAAGAGGGGCCACAAGGCCCGAAGACGAGGCGCGGUUGGCGCCGAUAUAUUAAGAACCAAGUUUGUCGUGCCAGCGAAUACUCUCACGAUUAGGGCUGGUUACAGCAGGUUAGAAAAUAUGGGCCUACGCCAACAGUACUCAAAGCAGGCUGCAAGGGUUAGAAAACCUGGACCUAGAACAGCAGGCUCUAGGAACGCCGGUUAGAAAACAUGGACCUAGAGCAGCAGGCUGCAAAGGCGGCAGCAGGCUAGAAAACAUGGACCUUGAACCAAGGAACGACAAGCCCAGCCUAUAGAGCCAAGCGGCCUUGAACCAAGGAACGACAAGCCCAGCCUGUAGAACCAAGUUACCCUACCAGCGUGCCGGACCAAACAACGACACGCAGGUAAUAAAGGGCCGUGGGGCGGGGAAUCCACAACGGCCCGGGCGAGGCGCGGUUGGCGCCGAUACGAGCGACCCAAGCUUGUCGCACCGCCGCUUUCCUUCGGAAAGUCCAAGGGCCUGGGGCGGGGAAACCACAAGGCCCGAAGCCGAGGCGCGGUUGGCGCCGAUACAAGAGGAACCAAGCGUGUCGUACCGCCCACUCCCCUAAUAAAGUCCAAGGGUCGUGGGACGAGGGACCCACAACGACCCGAAGCCGAGGCGCGGUUGGCGCCGAUAUAGUAAGAUCCAAGCGUGUCGCACCGCCGCCUAACUUCAGAAAGUCCAAGGGCCUGAGACGAGGAGACCACAAGGCCCGAAGCCGAGGCGCGGUUGGCGCCGAUACAGAAGGAAUCAAGCGUGACGCACCGCCUCCCUCCCUUAAAAAGUCCAAGGGUCGUGAGGCGAGGAAUCAACAACGACCCGACGCGAGGCGCGGUUGGCGCCGAUAUAAACGACCCAAGCGUGACACACCGCCUCCCUCC